Molecule: ribosomal RNA, 491 nt
Filed under: uncultured bacterium
Lineage: Bacteria
Description: partial 16S ribosomal RNA
Rfam family: Bacterial small subunit ribosomal RNA
Source: RNAcentral
AGUGAACGCUGGCGGUAGGCCUAACACAUGCAAGUCGAACGGCAGCACAGUAAGAGCUUGCUCUUACGGGUGGCGAGUGGCGGACGGGUGAGGAAUACAUCGGAAUCUACUUUUUCGUGGGGGAUAACGUAGGGAAACUUACGCUAAUACCGCAUACGACCUACGGGUGAAAGCAGGGGAUCUUCGGACCUUGCGCGAUUGAAUGAGCCGAUGUCGGAUUAGCUAGUUGGCGGGGUAAAGGCCCACCAAGGCGACGAUCCGUAGCUGGUCUGAGAGGAUGAUCAGCCACACUGAAACUGAGACACGGUCCAGACUCCUACGGGAGGCAGCAGUGGGGAAUAUUGGACAAGGGGCGCAAGCCUGAUCCAGCCAUACCGCGUGGGUGAAGAAGGCUUUCGGGUUGUAAAGCCCUUUUGUUGGGAAAGAAAAGCAGCAGGUUAAUACCCCGCUGUUCUGACGGUACCCAAAGAGUAAGCACCGGCUAACUUCGU